CCUACGGGAGGCAGCAGUAGGGAAUCUUCGGCAAUGGACGGAAGUCUGACCGAGCAACGCCGCGUGAGUGAAGAAGGUUUUCGGAUCGUAAAGCUCUGUUGUAAGAGAAGAACGAGUGUGAGAGUGGAAAGUUCACACUGUGACGGUAUCUUACCAGAAAGGGACGGCUAACUACGUGCCAGCAGCCGCGGUAAUACGUAGGUCCCGAGCGUUGUCCGGAUUUAUCGGGCGUAAAGCGAGCGCAGGCGGUUAGAUAAGUCUGAAGUUAAAGGCUGUGGCUUAACCAUAGUACGCUUUGGAAACUGUUUAACUUGAGUGCAAGAGGGGAGAGUGGAAUUCCAUGUGUAGCGGUGAAAUGCGUAGAUAUAUGGAGGAACACCGGUGGCGAAAGCGGCUCUCUGGCUUGUAACUGACGCUGAGGCUCGAAAGCGUGGGGAGCAAACAGGAUUAGAUACCCUGGUAGUCCACGCCGUAAACGAUGAGUGCUAGGUGUUAGACCCUUUCCGGGGUUUAGUGCCGCAGCUAACGCAUUAAGCACUCCGCCUGGGGAGUACGACCGCAAGGUUGAAACUCAAAGGAAUUGACGG
This 587-nucleotide ribosomal RNA is filed under the name uncultured bacterium. RNAcentral's name for it is "bacterial SSU rRNA". It matches the Rfam family "Bacterial small subunit ribosomal RNA", at positions 338 to 916 of the family's 1533-position model. The record is from RNAcentral.